This 1446-nucleotide ribosomal RNA is filed under the name metagenome. RNAcentral describes it as "bacterial LSU rRNA". It matches the Rfam family "Bacterial large subunit ribosomal RNA", at positions 1394 to 2925 of the family's 2925-position model. The record is from RNAcentral.
AGGCGAGGCCGCAAGGCGUAGUCGAUGCACAUACGGUAGAAAUUCCGUAGCCGGCUCAACUGUUAAGCAUACUGACACAUGAGAGUAGCUCUACCGGGCGUUGGUUGCCCCGGGCGUAAGCGAGCCGAAUGAGGCGAAGUGAGUAAAUCUUGUGGCGAGAAAAGGUGUGUGUAUUGGUUGGGCUGCCCGUACCGCAAACCGACACAGGUAGAUGAGGAGAAGAUCCUAAGGCCAUCGGGAAAGGGUUGUUAAGGAACUAGGCAAAUUGACCCCGUAACUUCGGGAGAAGGGGUGCCUACGAGAGUAGGCCGCAGAGAAUCGGCCCAAGCAACUGUUUACCAAAAACACAGGUCUCUGCUAAAUCGAAAGAUGACGUAUAGGGGCUGACGCCUGCCCGGUGCUGGAAGGUUAAGAGGAGGACUUAGCGGAAACGCGAAGGCCCGAACUGAAGCCCCAGUAAACGGCGGCCGUAACAAUAACGGUCCUAAGGUAGCGAAAUUCCUUGUCAGGUAAGUUCUGACCCGCACGAAAGGCGUAAUGAUUUGGGCACUGUCUCAACAGCCCGCCCGGCGAAAUUGUAGUACCGGUGAAGAUGCCGGUUACCCGCAACUAGACGGAAAGACCCCAUGGAGCUUUACUGCAGCUUAAUACUGAGAUUCGGUAAAUCAUGUACAGGAUAGGUGGGAGACUAAGAAGCCAGGCCGUCAGGUUUGGUGGAGUCGCCCUUGGGAUACCACCCUUGGUUUGCUGGGUUUCUAACCUGCGGCCCUGAAUCGGGUCGGGGGACACUGUUAGGCGGGCAGUUUGACUGGGGCGGUCGCCUCCUAAAAUGUAACGGAGGCGCUCAAAGGUUGGCUCAGCAUGGAUGGAAACCAUGCAAUGAGUGUAAACGUAUAAGCCAGCCUGACUGCGAGACCGACGGGUCGAGCAGAGACGAAAGUCGGAGUUAGUGAUCCGGUGGUAUGUGAGUGGAAAUGCCAUCGCUCAACGGAUAAAAGCUACCCUGGGGAUAACAGGCUGAUCUCCCCCAAGCGUCCACAGCGACGGGGAGGUUUGGCACCUCGAUGUCGGCUCGUCGCAUCCUGGGGCUGAAUUAGGUCCCAAGGGUUUGGCUGUUCGCCAAUUAAAGCGGCACGCGAGCUGGGUUCAGAACGUCGUGAGACAGUUCGGUCCCUAUCUGUUGCGGGCGUAGGAGAUUUGAAGGGAGCUGACCUUAGUACGAGAGGACCGGGUUGGACGUACCUCUGGUGUACCAGUUGUUCUGCCAAGGGCAUGGCUGGGUAGCUACGUACGGACGAGAUAAACGCUGAAGGCAUCUAAGCGUGAAACUCUCCCUGAGAUAAGAUCUCCACUGAGGCUCGACGUAGACUAUGUCGUUGAUAGGUCAGAGGUGGAAGUGCAGCAAUGCAUGGAGCUGACUGAUACUAAUAAGCCGAAAGCUUGACC